GACGAUCACCAUUAAAGAGACGGGAAAGGUCUGCCGUGGUCCAAUGAUAGGGAUUUUUGUCGCUUCCCUUCUUGUUUGUUUCUUUCUAUAUCACCUUAUUGAGUUGAGUUAAUGGAAUCCCUCCGGCGUCCGCCAUUUCCAAUGUCUUCAAACUCUUUUCUCAGGUCUCUGUUUCAUGAUUUCAGAUCCUCUCUCUUUUUUUUUUGUUUUUCUUCUCUUGCCCUUUUGAUCCUCAUUUAUUUAAUUGAGUUUGGGAUGGAUUCUCAAAGCAAAGGCGUAACCUUGAUUUUCUAUUCUUGACUUUGAAAUGGUUAUCCCCAGUUGUGUUUCGAAGCUCACGAUUUAAGUUUGCGGAUUAUGUUUUUUUUUUUUUUGGAAAUUUUGCCUGAUCUUCCUCCAAAAAGAUUGGAUUUUGCUGCAGCCGAAUUGUUCGGGAGAUAAUUCCAUUCUACCAUGACGUCGUGCCUCUGCAGUGGCACUGGCGGUGGCGGCCGGAGCUGCGGCUUUGACAUCGUCAAGUCGACGUCUUCAUCGUGGAGUCACUCCUUGGAAUCUUCGUCGUCCUCCUCCCCUUCUUCCGCCCUCUCUGAGUCGAGCAAUUCGCCAACGCUCGCAAUAUCCAUCAAGAGGGAGAGGACCCCUCGGAAGCGGCCCAACCAGACCUACAACGAGGCCACCGCCAUCCUCUCCGCCACAUACCCCGUCGUCUUCUCCGCCGGCAAGACCGCAAGGCCUUCCGUUUCCAUCCCCACCAAUCCAUUCCACCCCUUCUCGGAACCCCCCGACCUCCUCCCUCCUCUGCCGAUUCUCAACGACGCCGCAUUCCUGAUCCCAAACCCCAAUCCACCGUCCCCAGCCGCUGCAACCCACUUCCAUCUCAAGAGCAAGACUUACGCCACUGUUUCCAAGGACUCCGCCGAGAGCCCGGCGAGCGAAGUGUCUUGGGAGCCGAAAUCGCCGGCGCGCCCUAUCGAGGAGGACUUCGAUCCAGAGUCCAUUCUCGAAGCAGAGGUGAAACAGGGCAUUGAUAGCAUCAUUGGAACCCUGGCCUUCAACACUCCAAUAACGGACGCCGUCGAUUCCCUGAUCCGUAGCUUCGUUGAACGCAGAAUCCCCAGCAGUUUCGAGCACGGCUUCGGAUCCGAAUGGGCGCUGAGGAAGAGGGACGAAGACGAGUGGUGGAGCUCGAAGGUGGUGCCGGUGUCGGAUAUAACACCAGAUUACAAGCCUCCUUCGUCUCCGGCAACGGCGGCGUCGCAGAAAAAGAACAAGAAGAAGGUGGAGAAGAAGGAAAUCGAUGUAAUGGACUCAGAACAGGGGAGGUGGAAAUCUGCUCAAUCUGCUCUGCUGGGCCUCAAGCUGAACCAUGAAGAAGUCCUCGGGCAUUGGGCCGAUCGCGGUUCGGUCUUCUCCGACCGGACCGGCUCGUCAAAUUCGUCAGUGGAUGCUACGGAGUUUCUAGGUACUUCUGCCCUCGGACAUCUAUCGUCCACCCGAUCCAGCCGUGGGAAGCGACUCCGGAGAGGUCAGCGUUCAGCGUUGUAAAGGGAAGAGGAUCAGCCACGUGUUCUCGAAAAUACAACGAAGAAAGCCAACACGGACGAAGGCAAACCAACCUUGAUAAGGGGCCAUCUCUUCUCAAUAAAAACACCCGAAGCAAAGGGAUGAAUUAGUUACAAAGUUUUGAUUGGGGGAGACCGAAAUUUAAAGUUUCUUCUACAUAAACAUUUCCUUUGCUUUCAAUGUCCCGCGGAUCUGAUUCAAUCUAAUUUUGUUUGCUAUUUUCUUCAC
RNA transcript from Zingiber officinale, 1791 nucleotides. It is a transcript of the gene named protein CHLOROPLAST IMPORT APPARATUS 2-like, with no coding region annotated. The transcript is spliced from 3 exons. The record is from RefSeq and is a predicted model, not a curated record. Lineage: Eukaryota; Viridiplantae; Streptophyta; Magnoliopsida; Zingiberales; Zingiberaceae.